UACGUAGGGUGCAAGCGUUGUCCGGAAUUAUUGGGCGUAAAGAGCUCGUAGGCGGUUUGUCGCGUCGGCUGUGAAAACUCGGGGCUCAACCCCGAGCCUGCAGUCGAUACGGGCAAACUUGAGUGCGGUAGGGGAGACUGGAAUUCCUGGUGUAGCGGUGAAAUGCGCAGAUAUCAGGAGGAACACCGGCGGCGAAGGCGGGUCUCUGGUCUGUAACUGACGCUGAGGCGCGAAAGCGUGGGGAGCAAACAGG
RNAcentral lists this ribosomal RNA (253 nucleotides) under uncultured bacterium. RNAcentral's name for it is "partial 16S ribosomal RNA". It matches the Rfam family "Bacterial small subunit ribosomal RNA", at positions 524 to 776 of the family's 1533-position model. The record is from RNAcentral.